RNAcentral lists this unclassified non-coding RNA (174 nucleotides) under uncultured Russula. RNAcentral describes it as "sequence contains ITS1". The record is from RNAcentral. Lineage: Eukaryota; Fungi; Basidiomycota; Agaricomycetes; Russulales; Russulaceae.
UUGAUUGCGAAUCGUUGUCUCCAGUGCUGGCCAGCUCGCUCUGGCAAGUGCACGUUGGCAACUUUCAUCCAAUACCCUUGUGCACCUUUGGCCUCUUGCUAGCUUCGGUGAGCAGAGGAUUUUUACACCCACUCGAAUGUAAUGAAAUUAUUGUUGUGCACACGCACUAAUAUA